RNAcentral lists this ribosomal RNA (200 nucleotides) under uncultured bacterium. Its description in RNAcentral is "partial 16S ribosomal RNA". It matches the Rfam family "Bacterial small subunit ribosomal RNA", at positions 28 to 239 of the family's 1533-position model. The record is from RNAcentral.
GAUGAACGCUAGCGGCAGGCUUAAUACAUGCAAGGCGAAGGGGCAGCAAUGUCACUGUCGUACGGGUGCGUAACGCGUAUGCAACCUACCUAUCACUGGGGGAUAGCCCGGGGGAAACCCGGAUUAAUACCGCAUAAACCAGGGGCACCGCAUGGUGGUAUUUGUUAAAGAUUUAUUGGUGAUAGAUGGGCAUGCGUUCG